Long non-coding RNA from Lolium rigidum, 1196 nucleotides. RefSeq lists it as uncharacterized. The transcript has 3 exons. NCBI's taxonomy places the organism in Eukaryota, Viridiplantae, Streptophyta, Magnoliopsida, Poales, Poaceae. The record is from RefSeq and is a predicted model, not a curated record.
UAAUAUCUUGUACAUAAAUUGGUGGAUUAAUGCUGGGAGAGCACUAAGUCUUGUAAGUAGAUGUAGAAUAAUAAUGGUUCAAGUUAGUACGGAUCUCAGAUCUCUGACCUCUACCAACUUGGUUAUAGCACAAUCAUUGUUCAGAAUAAUAUGGAUUUUUUAAAGAUAAAUUAUCUUACUCUUACGAGCUUGUCCCCCCUCCAGGUCUCAGGAACAUGUCGGAGGUGCUGCUCAGCCACCAUCAGCACAAAUGGUGGAAGAACUAGCUGAUUCAUUCUCAGAGAAACUGCUUGAUGGUACAGAAACACAGAAACCAAUGCAUGAUGAGAUCGAGAAAGGAGCAAAUAACAACACAAUCUUUAGUCCCAAGCAAGUUGGAUUAGGCAUAUCAUACAGCGAGAUGUUGGCGGACGAGGAAGAAGACAUGGUUAAAUACCGUCGCUUCUGGGAACAUUUCUGGGGCAGCUCGUCGGGUUCCUUCAAAGACUACAGUAACCUACUUAUCUGAUUCAUGCUCUUCUUUUCUUCUUACUCUAUUAUUAUGUCUGAAGCAGAUUAAUUGUUCCUUGUAGUAGCUUGCUCAUGUGAACCUUGAUUUUUUGCUUUCUACUUAGUAAAUACUACUACUCACCAGAAUAUAAGACGUUUUGGUAGGCUAUCUUAUAUUUUGGAACAGAGGUAGUACCUCUGCUCCUCUAAACAAGACAUAUAUUUUUAGUCAAAAGAAAACAUAGUGUAAAUUUGACCAAUCUUACGGACAAAAAUAUGAACUUCCACAAAAUUUAAUAAAUAUAGUAUGAAAAUAUAUUCUAUGGUGGAUAAUCGAAAUUGAUUUGGGAUUCUAGAUGUUCAUAUCUUUGUAUAUAUGAUUGGUCAAACUUACUAUGUGUUGACUUUUGACUAAAUUUAUAUGCCUUCUUUUGAGGAACGGAGGGAGUAACUAGAAAGAGCUCUUUUUGCAUUUUCAACUCCCAUACUUUAUACAUAUGGAUCCAUCCCAGCACAUGCUAGCCUCCACAGUUGCUUGCAGAUAUUCUCCAUCAAAGUCAUGGAGAAUGAACUUUGGAGAAUCAGGUGGCCGGUGGAGGUAUACGGCUUUAUUGCUGCUCGAGACACCAUGGAUCACAAUCGCAACCUUCUGUUCAGCCGCACAAGGGAUGACCCCCAAAUUUUCACUCCUCAGGAUCCAUUCUUGC